GUGGGCAAGUGCCACUAACAUCUAAGUGAAUUAACCUCAACAACUUUGUGAUUCUUUCUUCUUUCCAAAAGAAUAAAGAUUCGAACAUUUCACCUCUAUACAAUUGUAAUAAGAAGGUAUUGGAUCCGGAUCUAACGAUCCAAAGCAUCCAUCUAUGACCAACUUGUAUUUUAUGUUUUUGAGGUAUCACAACUCAGUUGGGAUUAGUCACUACCUUGCAACCUUUUGGGUUUUAAGCAUCGUUAUAUUCUAACAGUUAACACUACAUAUCAUCUCUACUAUAGAGACAAUCAAAUUAGAUUACAAUAAUCUAAUCAUUCAUUAAUAAAGAACAAUGUUUUGUCAAACAAAACAUUCAUCCAUCCCUUAUAGUGAUGGAAUUAAGUUCCUUAAAAUUGGAAUGUAAAGACAAUCUUUGGUUUUUCCAAUUUAUUUGGUAGUUCAUAUGGGGAAGUAAGUACCAUCUGCUUUCGCAGAGAUCUACAUUUGAUUCACGUUCCGAAUGUGAAGUACUUUCUCUUCUCUCAUUAAUCUUCUACUUUUUAUUAGCCACACUUUUACAACGAUUGUAAAACAUAGUUACUAAUACGGAAUCAAGCAUUCAAGUAGAAGAAUCAACUGUUUUGAACUUUUCAAGAACAAUUUACAACACCUUCGAAAGGUGUGUUCUUGACACUUGCAAGACAUUUCUUGCAAAUACCCCUUCCAAUGUCCAUCCUUUCAUAAAGAAAUUUUGUUCCCUUGGAGUUAAUUUCGCUUUCUUCAUUUGACUUCUCCUUUUGACUACAAUAGUCAUGGUCCCUAAACUCCCACUAUCUCUCU
Molecule: long non-coding RNA, 822 nt
Filed under: Malus domestica (apple)
Lineage: Eukaryota; Viridiplantae; Streptophyta; Magnoliopsida; Rosales; Rosaceae
Description: long non-coding RNA (MDOM_LNC020007)
Source: RNAcentral